GAGGUUCUGCCGAUUUUUCGG
Molecule: microRNA, 21 nt
Filed under: Rosa chinensis
Lineage: Eukaryota; Viridiplantae; Streptophyta; Magnoliopsida; Rosales; Rosaceae
Description: sRNA RchiOBHm_Chr5g0022055
Source: RNAcentral